GGGGGGGCAAGCGUUGUUCGGAAUUACUGGGCGUAAAGGGCGCGUAGGCUGUCCCGCAAGUCCUCCGUGAAAUCCCACAGCUCAACUGUGGAAUUGCGAGGGAAACUGCAGGACUUGAGUUCGGGAGAGGAGAGUGGAAUUCCCAGUGUAGCGGUGAAAUGCGUAGAUAUUGGGAGGAACACCGGUGGCGAAGGCGGCUCUCUGGACCGACACUGACGCUGAGGCGCGAAAGCUAGGGGAGCAAACGGGGGAUUAGAUACCCCGGUAGUCCUAGCCCUAAACGAUGAGCACUUGGUGUGGCGGGUAUCGACCCCCUGCCGUGCCGAAGCUAACGCAUUAAGUGCUCCGCCUGGGGAGUACGGUCGCAAGGCUG
Molecule: ribosomal RNA, 373 nt
Filed under: uncultured organism
Description: partial 16S ribosomal RNA
Rfam family: Bacterial small subunit ribosomal RNA
Source: RNAcentral